GGACGAACGCUGGCGGCGCGCCUAACACAUGCAAGUCGAACGGGCUUUAAGAAGCUUGCUUUUUAAAGCUAGUGGCGGACGGGUGAGUAACACGUGAGCAACCUGCCUUUCAGAGGGGAAUAACGAUUGGAAACGACCGCUAAUACCGCAUAAUGCUGCGAGAGGACAUCCUCAUGCAGCCAAAGGAGUAAUCCGCUGAAAGAUGGGCUCGCGGCCGAUUAGAUAGUUGGUGAGGUAAUGGCUCACCCAAGUCGACGAUCGGUAGCCGGACUGAGAGGUUGAUCGGCCACAUUGGGACUGAGACACGGCCCAGACUCCUACGGGAGGCAGCAGUGGGGGAUAUUGCACAAUGGAGGAAAAACCUCUGGUGCAGCGACGCCGCGUGAGGGAAGACGGUCUUCGGAUUGUAAACCUCUGUCUUAGGGGAAGAAAAAUGACGGUACCCUAAGAGGAAGCUCCGGCUAACUACGUGCCAGCAGCAGC
RNAcentral lists this ribosomal RNA (483 nucleotides) under uncultured bacterium. RNAcentral describes it as "bacterial SSU rRNA". It matches the Rfam family "Bacterial small subunit ribosomal RNA", at positions 27 to 518 of the family's 1533-position model. The record is from RNAcentral.